CGUGAACUAAACAGUCAUAUAUUUAGUAUAAGUUAUAUUACGUGAAAGUGUGUAAAUAUAUAAUGAGGGUUUGGGUGAUCCUGAUCGUUUCCUGUCAUUGUACGAAGGUUAUAGAUGGUAUAGAUAUUACAGUAUGUAAAGAAGGUGGAAACUUCCCAUCAGUGAAUCUGACUUGUCCUACCAAUGAUGAUAUGAUACAUGUAGAGAGUAUUGGGUAUUUUUAUAAUCAAGGAUCUGAUUGUGGUGGUAGUUCUACAGAGAUAUGUGGUCAACCAUUGACUAAUAGUGAUACAGGUUUAAUAACAUCUUGUAUUGGACAACCAUCACCAUGUUUACAAUAUAUACCUAAUUAUAGUAAUUGUACAGGAAGUACUGUUAACUAUAGAUGUAUUCCAAGAGAAAAUGGUCAGGAUAUGUGUCAAAGCAAAUUUACUUUAAAAGAAGAUCCAGUCAGAAUAUUUCUAUUUUCACCAAAUUAUCCAACAGCAACGAGUGGCUUUAAAUCAAAUGAACCAACUUGUAAAUGUGAUAUACGUGGUACAAGUAUAACAUCUAUAACUAUAUUAGAUCUUAGAUUAAAAACAUCUAGUGAUGGAACAAGAUCUAAUUUAUUUAU
This is a long non-coding RNA of Patella vulgata (common limpet), 616 nucleotides long. RefSeq lists it as uncharacterized. The record is from RefSeq and is a predicted model, not a curated record. Lineage: Eukaryota; Metazoa; Mollusca; Gastropoda; Patellidae. The transcript is spliced from 3 exons.